This 322-nucleotide unclassified non-coding RNA is filed under the name soil metagenome. Its description in RNAcentral is "partial contains 5.8S ribosomal RNA, internal transcribed spacer 2, and large subunit ribosomal RNA". The stretch from base 1 to 120 matches the Rfam family "5.8S ribosomal RNA", at positions 35 to 154 of the family's 154-position model. The record is from RNAcentral.
GAUGAAGAACGUAGCGAAAUGCGAUAAGUAAUGUGAAUUGCAGAAUUCAGUGAAUCAUCGAAUCUUUGAACGCACAUUGCGCCCUUUGGCAUUCCGAAGGGCACACCUGUCCGAGCGCCGUCGCACAACUGAGGCGCAGCCUUGCGUUGGCGGGCGACUUGUGAGUAGCGAGUCGCCGCCCAAACGAGACGGCGCCGCGCCGCGGCCGACGAAGCACGAAAGCGGAAGUCGACGCGGAGGCGGUUGCCUGUAGGAAGACACAGCUUGGCCUCGGAUCAGGUGGGGAUACCCGCUGAACUUAAGCAUAUCAAUAAGCGGAGGA